CGACAUGGACCUGCUGUAUGAUUCGGGAGUAUUCAACUGUGACUAUCCUAAAACUCUACAACAGAAAGUUUUCUUCGAAAUUAUGCUGUACUUUUGUAACAGAGGGAGGGAGAAUCUCAGACCGAUUAUACAGUUCACACAGAUAAUGAUGGCAGGCGCUAUGUGUCAUCUUCAGUCUCAAGAUUAACCAAGAAUCACAGAGGAAAUGGCAGUGAUGAUGAUCAUGAUGGGGGAAGGUGUAUGAACAGCCUGGUAACCCUAAUUGUCCAGUGACAAGUUUUGAGAAAUAUAUCUCAAAAUUGAACCCUGAUUGCAAGGCAUUGUGGCAAAGACCCAAUUCUCAGGCGACAGAACAAGCUCGUGUGUGGUAUGACAACAUGGUUGUUGGAAAGAAUACUCUGGGCUCCAUGAUGCAGAAAAUAAGCAAGGAUGCUGGCCUAGGAUGUAUUUACUCUAACAAUUGUAUAAGGGCUACCUGUAUCACAAUGUUGGAUAAUAGUGGUUAUGAGUCUCGUCAUAUCAUUGGUAUAUCCAAGCACAAGUCAGAAUCAAGUUUGAAACAAUAUUCAUCCAAAUUAUCUGUCGGU
Molecule: long non-coding RNA, 587 nt
Organism: Pecten maximus
Lineage: Eukaryota; Metazoa; Mollusca; Bivalvia; Pectinida; Pectinidae
Exons: 2
Source: RefSeq, a predicted model, not a curated record